RNAcentral lists this transfer RNA (73 nucleotides) under Bos taurus (domestic cattle). It matches the Rfam family "tRNA". Rfam says of the family: Transfer RNA (tRNA) molecules are approximately 80 nucleotides in length. The record is from Rfam by way of RNAcentral. RNAcentral also lists the same sequence under 5 other names. Lineage: Eukaryota; Metazoa; Chordata; Mammalia; Artiodactyla; Bovidae.
UCUCUGGUGGUCCAUUGGCUAAGACUCUGUGAUCCCAAUGCAGGGAACCCAGGUUCAAUCCCUGGUCAGGGAA